RNAcentral lists this ribosomal RNA (484 nucleotides) under uncultured bacterium. RNAcentral's name for it is "partial 16S ribosomal RNA". It matches the Rfam family "Bacterial small subunit ribosomal RNA", at positions 30 to 507 of the family's 1533-position model. The record is from RNAcentral.
AUUGAACGCUGGCGGCAGGCCUAACACAUGCCAGUCGAGCGGAUGAAGGGAGCUUGCUCCUGGAUUCAGCGGCGGACGGGUGAGUAAUGCCUAGGAAUCUGCCUGGUAGUGGGGGAUAACGUCCGGAAACGGGCGCUAAUACCGCAUACGUCCUGAGGGAGAAAGUGGGGGAUCUUCGGACCUCACGCUAUCAGAUGAGCCUAGGUCGGAUUAGCUAGUUGGUGGGGUAAAGGCCUACCAAGGCGACGAUCCGUAACUGGUCUGAGAGGAUGAUCAGUCACACUGGAACUGGGGCACGGUCCCGACUCCUACGGGAGGCAGCAGUGGGGAAUAUUGGACAAUGGGCGAAAGCCUGAUCCAGCCAUGCCGCGUGUGUGAAGAAGGUCUUCGGAUUGUAAAGCACUUUAAGUUGGGAGGAAGGGCAGUAAGUUAAUACCUUGCUGUUUUGACGUUACCAACAGAAUAAGCACCGGCUAACUUCGUG